UACGGAGGGUGCAAGCGUUAUCCGGAUUCACUGGGUUUAAAGGGUGCGUAGGUGGACUAGUAAGUCCGUGGUGAAAUCCCCAAGCUUAACUUGGGAACUGCCGUGGAUACUAUUAGUCUUGAAUACUGUGGAGGUAAGCGGAAUAUGUCAUGUAGCGGUGAAAUGCUUAGAUAUGACAUAGAACACCGAUAGCGAAGGCAGCUUGCUACACAGUCAUUGACACUGAGGCACGAAAGCGUGGGGAGCAAACAGGAUUAGAAACCCCGGUAGUCC
Molecule: ribosomal RNA, 273 nt
Filed under: uncultured bacterium
Lineage: Bacteria
Description: partial 16S ribosomal RNA
Rfam family: Bacterial small subunit ribosomal RNA
Source: RNAcentral